UACGUAGGGGGCAAGCGUUGUCCGGAUUUAUUGGGCGUAAAGAGCGUGUAGGCGGCCAGAUAGGUCUGCUGUGAAAACUCGAGGCUUAACCUCGAGCUGUCGGCGGAAACCAUCUGGCUAGAGUCCGGAAGAGGAGAAUGGAAUUCCCGGUGUAGCGGUGAAAUGCGCAGAUAUCGGGAAGAACACCCGUGGCGAAGGCGGUUCUCUGGGACGGUACUGACGCUGAGACGCGAAAGCGUGGGGAGCGAACAGG
This 253-nucleotide ribosomal RNA is filed under the name uncultured bacterium. Its description in RNAcentral is "partial 16S ribosomal RNA". It matches the Rfam family "Bacterial small subunit ribosomal RNA", at positions 524 to 776 of the family's 1533-position model. The record is from RNAcentral.